GACAGAGGGUGCAAACGUUGCUCGGAACUACUGGGCGUAAAGCGCGUGUAGGCGGUUCCGCAAGUCAGGUGUGAAAGCCCCGGGCUCAACCCGGGAAGUGCACUUGAAACUGGGAGGCUAGAGUAUCGGAGAGGUUGGUGGAAUUCUCGGUGUAGAGGUGAAAUUCGUAGAUAUCGAGAGGAACACCAGUGGCGAAGGCGAUCACCUGGGGUUGUUCUGACGCUGAGGAGCGAAAGCUAGGGGAGCAAAGCGGG
This 254-nucleotide ribosomal RNA is filed under the name uncultured bacterium. RNAcentral describes it as "partial 16S ribosomal RNA". It matches the Rfam family "Bacterial small subunit ribosomal RNA", at positions 524 to 777 of the family's 1533-position model. The record is from RNAcentral.